Molecule: long non-coding RNA, 1655 nt
Organism: Neofelis nebulosa (Clouded leopard)
Lineage: Eukaryota; Metazoa; Chordata; Mammalia; Carnivora; Felidae
Exons: 4
Source: RefSeq, a predicted model, not a curated record
ACAAAAAAGAGAAAAGAAAAAAUAAGGAAGAAAAUUGAACAGUUGGACCAGCCAACAGACUGAAACACAGCUGAAACCACUCUGCCCUCCCCUAGAAGUCAAACCCAUGAAGCGCUCCACAGUCCACAGACCAAGCAGGCGGUGAGACCUGUGCUCCUGAAGAGCAAGGCUGGCCCAGCUCAGCGGGGCCCAGUGCAACGGCUCCACUCUCCACCAGAUGGUACUGCCAGCCCACUGGGGUGGAUUGCUGCAGUGCCCAUGCGCAGAGCCAUGAAACCACGUCACCCAGCCACCCAGUUUCCAGCAUAAGAACCCUGUUCUCCCGAUCAGCAUUCGCACACCUGUCCUUUGUCCUCGGCCUCCACCCAAUCCCCACUUCUACACUGUCAGUGACCAAGCCCCAGACAGCACCCCUCUCCCGAGCCCUACCCCAGAUGCGGCUGCCUUCCCCUGCCCCCCACCUCUGAGGGUCUGUGGCUCUUACUGAUCUGCCCCACUCCGGAGGGUCCCACCAAGCAAUGGCCGGAUGUCGGUGGUACCCAGGAACUCCGGGGACUGCACUGCUGCUGGUGCCCAGAGACCACUGCCAGGCGCCAGCCCACCCCAGAAAAAGUUUGCGAGGCAGUGUAGCAGCACGCCCUAGGGACCAUGGAAAAAUCACAACACAUACCUGGCACCGGGCUUCACCCCCAAUGACCCUGCUCCAGCACCAGCAAAGGAGGCCACCCUCUGGGGUCUGCUGGGCCCAGGUGGCCUCACAGCCUCCACCAAAUGUCCCUUUAGCAGUGGAACUGCCUCUCCCCCUGUGGCCCAAGAACCUCCCAGAUCCCACUUUAUUCCCUGGGACCCACCUCUCCCACCAGAGCACCGCCAGGCAUGGAGCUGCAGAGCCCCAGACUCCACGGUCCUGCCUCCACUCCGCCCACAGUCCCAACGGAUUUCAAACCCUCUCCCUUCUCCCUCCCACCUCCAGGUCUGUCCCUGCAGCUGUCUCCAAUCCUCCACCCUCUGUCCAGCCUCCUGGGGAGGGGGUGCCCUUCCCACACUCUUUCCCGCCCCUGCCAUGCAAAAGUGGCCCCGACAUCUGCAGCUUCCCUCCCCCAAGUUCACCUCUCCACGACCCUCACCGCUGAAGUCCAUGGCCCAGGCCAUGCAGACUGCCGUGUCAAUCCCCAGAUCAGUUUCUAGGCGCAGCAGGAUGGUCCAGUGUUGGUCUGGUGUCACUCCACAGACACAAGAUACACAAAAAACCUCCAUGCUGUUCUGCCAUCCCAGCUUUCCACUCUCCCCCCUCCCCCCACAACUUCUAAACUUAAUGUCAUUUCAUUCUGAACAUGUGAUUCAACAUGAGAAAAAGAAAAAAUAAGCUCAGGAAUUAACUGAUUUCUCUCUGAUACACCCACAGUAUAAAGGAGCUGCUCAGAUGUUUGCUAAAUGAAGUGGCUGAAUAAUCAGGACCAACCAAAUCAAGGAAGACACAUGACAGAUGUAAUAAUAGACCUCUUGCAAAUAAAAGGUAAGUCCAAUGAUAUUAAGAAAAUACCCAGGAGAAUUUUACAGAAUGUUCUCUCCACUGCGGCUGAGGAAGAGCUCUUAUAUAACUUACAAUGAUACAAGAACCUCAAGGCAUCAACCACAAACUCAGCCUCCAGUGA